Molecule: ribosomal RNA, 301 nt
Filed under: uncultured bacterium
Lineage: Bacteria
Description: partial 16S ribosomal RNA
Rfam family: Bacterial small subunit ribosomal RNA
Source: RNAcentral
CAGCAGCCGCGGGAAUACGGAGGAUCCAAGCGUUAUCCGGAAUCAUUGGGUUUAAAGGGUCCGUAGGCGGUCUUGUAAGUCAGUGGUGAAAGCACAUCGCUCAACGGUGGAACGGCCAUUGAUACUGCAGGACUUGAAUUAUUGGGAAGUAACUAGAAUAUGUAGUGUAGCGGUGAAAUGCUUAGAGAUUACAUGGAAUACCAAUUGCGAAGGCAGGUUACUACCAAUUGAUUGACGCUGAUGGACGAAAGCGUGGGUAGCGAACAGGAUUAGAUACCCCCGUAGUCCCUGUCUCUUAUAC